Molecule: long non-coding RNA, 3374 nt
Filed under: Nicotiana tabacum (common tobacco)
Lineage: Eukaryota; Viridiplantae; Streptophyta; Magnoliopsida; Solanales; Solanaceae
Description: long non-coding RNA (NTAB_LNC008414)
Source: RNAcentral
UGCUGGGUUGUUUGCUGUUGAGUGCUGCCUUUCUGUUGCUACUGUUGUUGUGUGUGUGUGCUACUGUUGCACUGAUCAUUCCUCUUCUUCUUUUGCUUUCCCAAAUACCAGGUACACCACUGAUUCACUGUCAAUGCAAGCUGAAAGUUGAAGUAUGAAUACAAAAAAUGAAGCGUUGAAGCUGUUUUUUUACUGAGUUUUUCAAAUCUGUUUCAGCCUGUAUAUUGAACAUUAAAGUUGUAUAUAUAAUAGUUCAUAUCUUCUAUUUAGGAUAACGAAGGCAGUCAUCAUGUAUAAUUAAACCUCGCGUAUGGUUACUUAGUAUCACCUUAUUUGUGUCUGUUGGUAGAUAGAAAAGAAGUAAGAAUGUAGUAAACAAUAUCUGGAAUGUUAGCUGUGUUUGUGAUUAGCUUAUCUUCUAACGCAUGUUAAGUGUUAAAUCGUCCAUUGCUAGUUAAUCUUACUCCAUUUAGCAGGUUGUCUCGCUAUAACUUGCAGCAAUACCAUUAGAAUAAAAUAAUAACAGUUUCCAUUUCAACCUUGUAAAUAUUGGGCCUGAGUCGAAUGAACUAACAGGCCCUUAUAGGAACGGGAAUGGCCCAGGUCCAGCCCAUACAGUGUGCGCUGGGCCUGGACCCAUGAUAUCUAAAUGACUGCCCAGGCACGUGGUCAUAUUUCGAAUUUGGCAAAUCAUAUUCGGAACCCGACUAUAACUAACUUGUAAGCAUGUAAAUAAAGUUGGACCAUUCUUCUUCUUCAUUAUUAAAGACAAACUCAAUAGAAAACAUAGUCGCUAUAGGACGACCUUUUAAAUAAAAUGAGAUGAGCCUCGCCAAAUAAAAAAUGCAAAUUACGGGGCCCUCAAUAAUUGGUCAUAAUAAAUACUUAGAAUUUGGCAUGGAUUGUUUAGUGAAUUUCACUGCCUUUCCCAAAGAUAAUAACGCGUUAGACUCUUUAGGCGCGAUUUAAUUAAUCUUACCUUCUUAAACUCGAGUGUGCAUUUCAUGCAACUCAAAUCCAAAUCCCAAAACAUUGAAUAAAAAUAUGUUCCGGAUGACGGGUGCAUUUCAUGUGAUGCAAUCCAAAGACAUGUUUUCUAAACGAUGUUCACUUUCCUUAAAAAAUAUAAUGAAAGGGGUAAAUAGUUAAAAUUUGCACAUGAGUUCAUAAUUAUAUAAAAUUAGAUAAACAAGCCGAAUGUGACAGUUGAGCGACCAUGCUAGAACCACGGAACUCGGGAAUGCAUAACACUUUCUCCCGGGUUAACAGAAUUCCUUAUCCGGAUUACUGGUUCGCGGACUGUAAUACAGAGUCAUUCUUUUCCUUGAUUCGGGAUUAAGUUAGUGACUUGGGAUACCCUAAAUCUCCCAAGUGGCGACUCUGAAAUAAAUAAACAAAUUCCAUUUCGAUUUUCCUUUAAUUGGAAAAACUCCUACGCCUCUCGCGGGGGCGGAAAAAGGAGGUGUGACAGUAGUCGGGUCACAUAAAUGUACCUCCGAAUUUGAAAAUUAUGUAUCACAACUACGUCACGGGAACCGUACCUGUAGCUAUGAUAAUUUUAUUAUAAACAUGCCUAAAGCAAACUACGAAUGUUCGAAAUAUUUUUCUAUACUAGUUAUGAAUGUUCCAAGUCUUUUCCAUACUAGUUUUGGCAUUAAUAUGAGGGCCAUAGAUUAUGGGGUUCAACUGUGGAUGACACACCUCAAUUUAUUUAUUUUAAAAAAAAGAUUUUACUCAACUAACACAAACUAUGGAUAUUCAUAUUUAAAAUAAAUUGAAAUUAGGUAUCACGACUGCGCCACGGGAACCGUACUCGUAAUCCUGAUCAUUUAAUUACAUGCCUAAAGCAAACUACGGGUGUUCAUAUGAUUCGCUAGCUUAAUAUUGACAGUUGUGAAUGGGCUUAAUAGUUAAGUCCAAAUAUUCUUCUUUAAACACACAAAUAGUUCCCAAUGACCAUAGUCUGUGACUUGCGUCAGUUCUUUUGAUAACAAUCCUAAGCACACAGUGCUUGAGGCAAAUGCAAACCCUCACUACACAAAAGGUUCUCUGUAUGGAACACUAAAGGAAAAAAAUUUGCCUUCUCAUUUUUGUUUUUGUUUUUCUUACUUAGAUCAAACAACGCAAAAAUGAUACUCUCUUACUUUUCUUACUAAACAAAGUUGUCCACUCUUAAACUAUGGCUAUAAUCAAAGUUUAAUUGGACGGAUAAUUCUAUUGCAGAUGAUGCAAUCGAGAGCCAUGACCUUUUAUUCAAAGGUCACUUUCUUAAAACCGAAAAUAACAACUAAAGAAACCAAAGGCUAUGGUCGACUAAUUUUAACAAAUUUCACUGAAACAAACAACUUGCAAAUAAGUGUCUUAAAAAAAUCUAGAAGGCUAACAAACGUCACUGUUGGUCUAAUAGCUUUAAUAUGCUAACAUAAUCAAUAAUAAUAAAAAACAUCAAAAUACAGAGACAUCACAAAUAGACUUAAAUUCUGAUAUAUUAAACUUAAAACAUAAAACGAGAUCUAAAGAUAAGCAACAUUGAAAUCCAACAUUGAUUUUCAUAAUCAAAAACCUGUCUUCAAUAGAGGUGUGUUCUCGUCUAAUAUGUAACCCAGAAUUUAUAGAAGAGUACCUGGAAAUCACUGAUUGCUUAAAUGCCAAAUAAAAACUAAAAGAACGAAGAUGGAGCUCAGCAAAUCAGCAAUACAAUAGCAAACAUCAGCAGAAUCGAACAACACUUUGAAUUUGAGUUCUUCUUAAAAAAACAAAAAUAAACGGGGAGCCUCUUAUUUCAAAUCUUAGUCCCUUUUUUGUGAGAGAGUCGUGGGUGUGUCGAGUGAAGAACAAGAAGGUGCAAUAGCUGUUUUUUCUCUUUCCCACUACUGCUGCUGCGUUUUAUUGCUGGAAAUCGCGGAUUUGGGUAAGCAUUGCUGGUGUUUUGGGCUGGAAUUGGAGAUGGAAUUUUCCGUGUUCUUGGCUGAGAAGAAAGUGUUUCUGGGCUAAAAGUGAGGAAGAAGAAGAAGGGUCUGUUGAGUGAGAGCGCCGUUCUUAUCUAGGUUCUUCAAAGGGGGAGGGCUUCUGAUGGUUUUUGAUGAAAAAUGGAGAAGAAGGCUCCUAACCCCAGAUGCGUCGUUGCUCUCUAUGUGAAGGAGAAGGGGGUCGCGUUAUUUUCUAGGUCUCAGAUAGGGGGUGGAAUCUGAUGUCUUUGUUAUCUAGGUUUAGGUUUUAAUUAAAGGGGAUGAGUUUUGGUUUGGGGCGAAUUUGACUUGUUUUGGGCCUCUUGAGACUUGGCCCAAUUCAAAAUAAGACAACUUUCUUUUUCUCUGUUGUUCUUCUUUCUUUCUUUGAUUUUAAAAAAUAUCUAACUGAAUUAAUUAAACAAG